GGUGAUAUUGUGUAUGUGGAAAAAGUUUUAGAUCUUUGAGUUCAUCUCAUACAAAAUGGGAGCAAAACCAAAAGUGUUGCAUUUAUAUUUUUGUUGAGUAUAUAUAUGUAUAUAUAUAUUGGGGGGAGUUUAAUGUGCUGUUUCCUGUUUUAUGUUUUGCUUUUGCCAUGGAAAAAUAAAGCCGUCAUUAAAAUUUGCUUUGUCCUAUUUUAUUAUUAUUGGUGGUCUGCUUCUCCCUUUUAGAGGAUCGUUUUGGGAUUAGAUAGAGGAGACGAAAAGUGCAUGUGGGAGUGGAUCCAUCAAAAGAGGUCCAGCCCUCUGAAGGAGCAAUUACCACAGUAACAGGCCCCGUGAUCAGCUGAUAAUGGCCCUGUGCUGGCUGGAGAGUCUGCAGGAGUCCUCCCUUUGACAGCACAGGACACUAAUUCAAUUAGAAAGCCAUUUGCUGUGUGUUCCGGUAGAAGAUAACGGAGUCGCAAGAGGAUGUUUGAUCUCUGUUUUCUCCAAUAUCCUAUCCGUGUCUUACUCUGUGAACACGCUGUCAGCACGCUGAUAUUUUAGUGAACUCUGCUUUGGAAAAAAUCAACUUCUUCCAUGUUGAUGGACCAAAAAUAAUUUGGAUCAAGAAAAUAUUUUUGUGUUUUUCUUUGUGGAGCAGCAAGUGCAGAAGACGUAACCCUUCUUAGAUAAAACCCAGGGGGUUCAAACCCUUUAUUAGUUUUUGUCUCCUCCUCUUCCAUGAGGGCUUAAAACACUCUAGGGAACACCAGCUUGGACUUGUGGACUGACAGCAGAGCAGCUCACUUUCCCUUCUGUUCCUGCCUCCAACAGCACACAGAGCAGCAUAAUGGGUCGAGGGGGUAACAUGGGACACCUGACCCAGCCUGGUCUCAGUCCGAAGAUCCAUCUACCUCUGGACAACGAGCCUCUGUUCAUCCGCUUCCUCCUGACAUUAAGGGAAGUCCUCAAGUUUGUUCUCUUCAGCUACACGGUGCUGUUUGGUGCUUUGCUCCUUGCUCGAUGGACGACUUAUUUCAUGGUUGCAAAGUAAAAGAAAAAAAAGAUCAAGAAUGAGCCUGUUCUGGGACUUCAGACUUGGGGGACUUAAGCAAAUGCUGGAUUUGUGCUUCACAGUUUCUAUAUGGUUAUGUCUUUAUUUCCUAGUACAUAGCUGAUGAUUUUGCUAUAUUAUGUUAUUACUUCAUGUUUGUUAAUGCAAUAGUGGAAACUGUGUCGUAAUGCUCUAAACAGCAUUUGGAGUAUAUUAGAUUGGUACAUUUAGUCGUGUUUUGUACCAAACACUGAAUGUGUUAAAAAAUUACGUGUUUAAUGUGCAUCUGUAAGCUCUAUUUCAUCCAUACAAAAUAAAUGCAACUAAAAAAAAAAUGCAUAUAUCUUGACUGGCUGAAGUGUGAAACCACAAACACUCCCACAGUGUUUUAUGUAAAUAUCAACAAUGGCAGUAUUACUU
Molecule: long non-coding RNA, 1471 nt
Organism: Thalassophryne amazonica
Lineage: Eukaryota; Metazoa; Chordata; Actinopteri; Batrachoidiformes; Batrachoididae
Exons: 3
Source: RefSeq, a predicted model, not a curated record